GCCACACGUUCACGGGGUCAUGCGAUCAUACACCUUCCACCGCCGUGCUGAAAACAACUCCUCAGGAUUCCAGUUUUGAAGAGCCGCAGACCGUCCAUGGGCACAGGUGCAGAAAUAAUUGGACAGGAACACCUUGAAAAGGGCUGCCCGACUGCAAGAAGAGAGGUUGGACGAGAUGAAGGCAAAAUUGCAAAAUUGCAAAAAGGGGAGGGGUGCUGGAGCUGUCCACUUCCCGUCUACCUGGAGUGAUUUCUGACAUCAUGGAGUACAGGAGAGCUAUCACAGGGUCUCCGGAGAACAUCGCUGGUGCACCUGCAUGAAUUGCAGGGAGACUCCUGCACCUUACAAUACACAACUGCUGCCAUUUCACCACUGCAAUAUUCCAUUUAUUGAUUAUCAAGUAUGUUUACAUAACAGGUUAACACUUUCCACGACUACACUGUAAUUUUUUAUUACAUUUUUUCCUUGGUCUGGGUGAUAUCAGUUCAGUACUUUAUCAGAAUGUUUCCCUUACACUGUGCUUUUGUUAUUUUGAGGAAGGUUACAGAGACUACCUUGUAUUCAUG
This is a long non-coding RNA of Coregonus clupeaformis (lake whitefish), 566 nucleotides long. RefSeq lists it as uncharacterized. The record is from RefSeq and is a predicted model, not a curated record. The transcript is spliced from 3 exons. NCBI's taxonomy places the organism in Eukaryota, Metazoa, Chordata, Actinopteri, Salmoniformes, Salmonidae.